This is an unclassified non-coding RNA of Vespa mandarinia (Asian giant hornet), 1936 nucleotides long. The record is from RefSeq and is a predicted model, not a curated record. Lineage: Eukaryota; Metazoa; Arthropoda; Insecta; Hymenoptera; Vespidae.
GCUCUUGAUUUAGAAAUAAAAUGGAGUAUAAUCGUGUGUUUGACCCUUCGUCUCAUCAUAUUCCAUGUAUUUUACUUUUAAGUGGUUGAUGGCGUUUAUAACGGUGAAGGGAAAACGAUAGUGAUCGUUAUUAUAAAUUCAUUGUUACAUAACGUAAACGGGUAGAAAGAGGAUGAGGGAAAAAAUCAAAGAAUCCAUUUCCUUUCGGAUCUUGAAAGAAUUUGUCAAGCAAUGAUGUCAUUCAUUUUUUAGUUAUGGCUUUUUCUUCUAUAUUAAAGUAUUAUAUCGGUACUUUUUUACAAGUGGAACAAAGUUUGCCGCUUUAAUGGACUUUUCAAUUAUGGUUUAUGAUUACGUAGCCUUCCAUAGGGAGAAAGGUAUACAUAAUAAGUGUUGCGGUGGAAAGUUUUGGUGCAUCAAGGAUAUUUGUGGAAUUAUAUGUGCGGUCCUGACAUGGUUGCUAAUAAUUUAUGCGGAAUUUGUAGUUAUGGCUGUUAUCCUUAUUCCUUCUAUAAAUACUUUAUAUUCAGGCCUAAACAUGGCAGUGUUUCAAUCCUUAGCAUUUUUGGCAUUUGCUUCUCAUUUAAGGACAAUGUUUACAGAUCCAGGUGCUGUACCAAAGGGCAAUGCGACAAAAAAAAUGAUACAACAAAUGGGAUUCCGGGAAGGUCAAGUUAUCUUUAAAUGUCCAAAAUGUUGUUCUAUAAAGCCGGAUAGAGCUCAUCAUUGUUCGGUUUGUCAAAGAUGUAUUAGGAAAAUGGAUCAUCAUUGCCCAUGGGUUAACAACUGUGUCGGCGAAAAUAAUCAAAAAUACUUUGUAUUGUUUACUUUUUACAUAGCAGGUAUAUCCCUACAGUCUCUUCUUUUGUGCAUACAACAAUUUACAACGUGCGUGAGACAAGAAUGGAGAGAAUGUUCGACGUUUAGUCCACCUGCGACCGUUGUCCUUUUACUAUUUCUAGCAUUCGAAGCACUUUUAUUUGCCAUUUUUACAGCUGUAAUGUUGGGAUCGCAACUGCAGGCUAUUUGGAAUGAUGAAACUGGUAUAGAACAACUUAAAAAAGAAGAAGCACGAUGGGUUCGUAAUAGCAGAUGGAAAUCCAUACAGGCCGUUUUUGGUAGAUUUUCUAUUGCUUGGUUUUCUCCCUUCACUUCGCCUCCGAAUGCAAAAAAGAAGUUAGAUGCCUAUUUAUAUACUGUAUAGGUUAUUUGGAUAUGUGAUUGUGACACAAAUAUUUAAUACAUGUAAAUAUAAGGUGAACAAGACGGAAAUGAUAAUAUAUAGAUAAUGAUAAUGUUCGAACAUUAUUCGAAGGACUGGUUGCAAAAAUGGUACAUGUACACUAUAUUUAUAUUUGAUUCAAAAUUGUUUACAAUCGUUUAUUAAUAACUAGAACGAAGAAAUGAUCUCUGUACCGUACAAAAGACUGAAACAUAGUGCUAAUAUCGCUCGAACAUAUGUAACACUUAAGCGAGUGGUUAAAUCUGUAUAAUCCCUGCAGAUCUGUACUUUAAUAAUCUUCUUAAGAAUGUAUAGUUUAUAUAGAUUUGUUUUUUAGAAUCAAUUUUAUAAAGUAUAAAUCCAUACGAUCUAAUUAAAUAUUUUUCUUUUUAGUUAUCACGUACCUUAUUUAUGGCAAUUUAAAAUUCGCAUCACCAUUCUUGCAUCCAGUUUCGUUAAUUAUACUUUAUUAACUUAAUUAUUAUUAUUAUUAUUAUUAUUAUCAUCCAAUGUACACGACAAGUAAUAUUUAUUAGCGACAUCAUGGUAGAGAGAUAUUUUCAUAUAUUAAUUUUAUAUAUCCUCAAAUGCACCCUUUAGGACAAGAAGAAAAAAAAAUGAAAAUUCGAUGCACUUUGUAUACGCUAUAUCUUAUUUAUAUUUUGAUGUAAUAGGUCAUAUUUUAAGCAAUAUUAUAGAUAUGCAAAAAACGUA